AGAGUUUGAUCCUGGCUCAGGACGAACGCUGGCGGCGCGCCUAACACAUGCAAGUCGAACGAGCGAGAGAGAGCUUGCUUUCUCGAGCGAGUGGCGAACGGGUGAGUAACGCGUGAGGAACCUGCCUCAAAGAGGGGGACAACAGUUGGAAACGACUGCUAAUACCGCAUAAGCCCACGGCUCGGCAUCGAGCAGAGGGAAAAGGAGCAAUCCGCUUUGAGAUGGCCUCGCGUCCGAUUAGCUAGUUGGUGAGGUAACGGCCCACCAAGGCAACGAUCGGUAGCCGGACUGAGAGGUUGAACGGCCACAUUGGGACUGAGACACGGCCCAGACUCCUACGGGAGGCAGCAGUGGGGAAUAUUGCACAAUGGGGGAAACCCUGAUGCAGCGACGCCGCGUGGAGGAAGAAGGUCUUCGGAUUGUAAACUCCUGUUGUUGAGGAAGAUAAUGACGGUACUCAACAAGGAAGUGACGGCUAACUACGUGCCAGCAGCCGCGGUAAAACGUAGGUCACAAGCGUUGUCCGGAAUUACUGGGUGUAAAGGGAGCGCAGGCGGGAAGGCAAGUUGGAAGUGAAAUCCAUGGGCUCAACCCAUGAACUGCUUUCAAAACUGUUUUUCUUGAGUAGUGCAGAGGUAGGCGGAAUUCCCGGUGUAGCGGUGGAAUGCGUAGAUAUCGGGAGGAACACCAGUGGCGAAGGCGGCCUACUGGGCACCAACUGACGCUGAGGCUCGAAAGUGUGGGUAGCAAACAGGAUUAGAUACCCUGGUAGUCCACACUGUAAACGAUGAUUACUAGGUGUUGGAGGAUUGACCCCUUCAGUGCCGCAGUUAACACAAUAAGUAAUCCACCUGGGGAGUACGACCGCAAGGUUGAAACUCAAAGGAAUUGACGGGGGCCCGCACAAGCAGUGGAGUAUGUGGUUUAAUUCGACGCAACGCGAAGAACCUUACCAAGUCUUGACAUCCUGCGACGCACAUAGAAAUAUGUGUUUCCUUCGGGACGCAGAGACAGGUGGUGCAUGGUUGUCGUCAGCUCGUGUCGUGAGAUGUUGGGUUAAGUCCCGCAACGAGCGCAACCCUUAUGGUCAGUUACUACGCAAGAGGACUCUGGCCAGACUGCCGUUGACAAAACGGAGGAAGGUGGGGAUGACGUCAAAUCAUCAUGCCCUUUAUGACUUGGGCUACACACGUACUACAAUGGCGUUAAACAAAGAGAAGCAAGACCGCGAGGUGGAGCAAAACUCAGAAACAACGUCCCAGUUCGGACUGCAGGCUGCAACUCGCCUGCACGAAGUCGGAAUUGCUAGUAAUCGCAGAUCAGCAUGCUGCGGUGAAUACGUUCCCGGGCCUUGCACACACCGCCCGUCA
Molecule: ribosomal RNA, 1370 nt
Filed under: uncultured bacterium
Lineage: Bacteria
Description: bacterial SSU rRNA
Rfam family: Bacterial small subunit ribosomal RNA
Source: RNAcentral